Molecule: transfer RNA, 70 nt
Filed under: Rhinopithecus bieti (black snub-nosed monkey)
Lineage: Eukaryota; Metazoa; Chordata; Mammalia; Primates; Cercopithecidae
Description: tRNA (ENSRBIG00000000011.1)
Source: RNAcentral
AGAAAUUUAGGGUUAAACUAGACCAAAAGCCUUCAAAGCUUUUAGUAAGUUAAAAACACUUAAUUUUCUG